RNAcentral lists this ribosomal RNA (468 nucleotides) under uncultured bacterium. Its description in RNAcentral is "partial 16S ribosomal RNA". It matches the Rfam family "Bacterial small subunit ribosomal RNA", at positions 28 to 507 of the family's 1533-position model. The record is from RNAcentral.
GACGAACGCUGGCGGUGUGCUUAACACAUGCAAGUCGAACGGUAAGGCCCUUUCGGGGGUACACGAGUGGCGAACGGGUGCGUAACACGUGAGUAACCUGCCCUCAUCUCUGGGAUAACAGUCGGAAACGGUUGCUAAUACUGGAUAUGAGCUUGCAAGGCAUCUUGUGGGUUGGAAAGAUUUUUUUUGGUUGGGGAUGGACUCGCGGCCUAUCAGCUUGUUGGUGAGGUAGUGGCUCACCAAGGCUUCGACGGGUAGCCGGCCUGAGAGGGCGACCGGCCACAUUGGGACUGAGAUACGGCCCAAACUCCUACGGGAGGCAGCAGUGGGGAAUAUUGCACAAUGGACGGAAGUCUGAUGCAGCAACGCCGCGUGCGGGAUGACGGCCUUCGGGUUGUAAACCGCUUUCAAUUGUGACGAAGCUUUUUUGUGACGGUAGCAGUAGAAGAAGCACCGGCUAACUACGUG